UGAAAAGUGUUGAGAUGAGCUGUGGGUAGGGGUGAAAGGCCAAUCAAACUGGGAAAUAGCUCGUACUCCCCGAAAUGCAUUUAGGUGCAGCGUCGUGGUGAGUUUGAUAGAGGUAGAGCUACUGAUAGGGCUAGGGGGCUUCACCGCCUACCAAACCCUGACAAACUCCGAAUGCUAUAAUAUAUACUGAGCAGUGAGGGCAUGGGUGCUAAGGUCCAUGUCCGAGAGGGAAAGAACCCAGACCAUCAGCUAAGGUCCCAAAAUAUAUGUUAAGUUGAAUAAACGAGGUUGAACUGCUUAGACAGCUAGGAUGUUGGCUUGGAAGCAGCCAU
Molecule: ribosomal RNA, 332 nt
Filed under: Schmidingerella taraikaensis
Lineage: Eukaryota; Ciliophora; Spirotrichea; Tintinnida; Rhabdonellidae
Description: partial Bacterial large subunit ribosomal RNA
Rfam family: Bacterial large subunit ribosomal RNA
Source: RNAcentral